RNAcentral lists this ribosomal RNA (304 nucleotides) under uncultured bacterium. RNAcentral describes it as "bacterial SSU rRNA". It matches the Rfam family "Bacterial small subunit ribosomal RNA", at positions 28 to 337 of the family's 1533-position model. The record is from RNAcentral.
GACGAACGCUGGCGGCGCGCCUAAUACAUGCAAGUCGUACGGGCACCCUUCGGGUGGUCAGUGGCGGACGGGUGAGUAACACGUGGGUGACCUGCCCUCGCAGUGGGGAAGUAACUCUGGGAAACCGAGAGCUAAUACCGCAUAUGCUUAGUGCAUCAUAGCAUUAAGUAAAGAAGAAAUACGCUGCAGGAGGGGCCUGCGCCGGAUUAGCUAGUCGGUGGGGUAAGUGGCCUACCGAGGCGACGAUCCGUAGCUGGUCUGAGAGGACGACCAGCCACACUGGGACUGAGACACGGCCCAGACU